This 468-nucleotide ribosomal RNA is filed under the name uncultured bacterium. RNAcentral's name for it is "partial 16S ribosomal RNA". It matches the Rfam family "Bacterial small subunit ribosomal RNA", at positions 28 to 507 of the family's 1533-position model. The record is from RNAcentral.
GACGAACGCUGGCGGCGUGCUUAACACAUGCCAGUCGAACGGAAAGGCCCUGCUUUUGUGGGGUGCUCGAGUGGCGAACGGGUGAGUAACACGUGAGUAACCUGCCCUUGACUUUGGGAUAACUUCAGGAAACUGGGGCUACUACCGGCUAGGAGCUCCUGCUGCAUGGUGGGGGUUGGAAAGUUUCGGCGGUUGUGGCUGGCCUCGCGGGUUAUCAGCUUGUUGGUGGGGUAUUGGCUUACCAAGGCAUUGACGGGUAGCCGGCCUUGGAGGGUGACCGGCCACAAGGGGACUGAGAUACGGCGCAGACUGCUACGGGAGGCAGCAGUGGGAAAUAUUGCACAAUGGGCGGAAGCGUGAUGCAGCAACGCCGCGGGCGGGAUGACGGCCUGCGAGUGAUAAACCGCUUUCUCCUGUGACGAAGCGUGAGUGACGGUAAUUGGUAAAGAAGCACCGGCUAACUACGUG